GACGAACGCUGGCGGCGUGCUUAACACAUGCAAGUCGAGCGGUAAGGCCCUUUCGGGGGUACACGAGCGGCGAACGGGUGAGUAACACGUGGGUGACCUGCCCUCAGCUCUGGGAUAAGCCUGGGAAACUGGGUCUAAUACUGGAUAUGACUCCACGGUGCAUGUCGUGGGGUGGAAAGCCUUGUGCGGCUGAGGAUGGGCCCGCGGCCUAUCAGCUUGUUGGUGGGGUGANGGCCUACCAAGGCGACGACGGGUAGCCGGCCUGAGAGGGCGACCGGCCACACUGGGACUGAGACACGGCCCAGACUCCUACGGGAGGCAGCAGUGGGGAAUAUUGGACAAUGGGCGAAAGCCUGAUCCAGCCAUGCCGCGUGAGUGAUGAAGGCCUCGGUCGGUAAG
Molecule: ribosomal RNA, 399 nt
Filed under: uncultured bacterium
Lineage: Bacteria
Description: bacterial SSU rRNA
Rfam family: Bacterial small subunit ribosomal RNA
Source: RNAcentral